UACGGAGGGGGCUAGCGUUGUUCGGAAUUACUGGGCGUAAAGCGCACGUAGGCGGCUUUGUAAGUUAGAGGUGAAAGCCCGGGGCUCAACUCCGGAAUUGCCUUUAAGACUGCAUCGCUUGAAUCAUGGAGAGGUGAGUGGAAUUCCGAGUGUAGAGGUGUAAUUCGUAGAUAUUCGGAAGAACACCAGUGGCGAAGGCGACUCACUGGACAUGUAUUGACGCUGAGGUACGAAAGCGUGGGGAGCAAACAGG
Molecule: ribosomal RNA, 253 nt
Filed under: uncultured bacterium
Lineage: Bacteria
Description: partial 16S ribosomal RNA
Rfam family: Bacterial small subunit ribosomal RNA
Source: RNAcentral